GGGAAGUUAUGGGUAGAAAAUGUGCCACGUCUUCUAGGAAGGGGGAGCCCUCAACUUGCGAGAGACUAUUGUCCCUAAGCCUUUAACUACAUUCUUAACUCUAUGAAGUCAAGGGCCCUUUUUCUAUUUUCGUAGGGACUUUGUCCCGCUUCAGCAACAUGAAGCUUUUCUUGUGGAACGCGGUCUUGAUGCCAUUAGUUACUUCUUUGAUUGGGGCUCUCAUCCCUGAACCAGAAGUGAAAAUUGAAGUUCUCCAGAAGCCAUUCAUCUGCCAUCGAAAAACCAAGGGAGGUGAUUUGAUGUUGGUCCACUAUGAAGGCUACUUAGAAAAGGAUGGCUCUUUAUUUCACUCCACUCACAAACAUAACAAUGGUCAACCCAUUUGGUUUACCCUGGGCAUCCUGGAGGCUCUGAAAGGUUGGGACCAGGGUUUGAAAGGAAUGUGUGUAGGAGAGAAGAGAAAGCUCAUCAUUCCUCCUGCCCUGGGCUAUGGAAAAGAAGGAAAAGGUAAAAUUCCUCCAGAGAGUACACUGAUAUUCAACAUUGAUCUCCUGGAGAUUCGAAAUGGACCAAGAUCCCAUGAAUCAUUCCAAGAAAUGGACCUUAAUGAUGACUGGAAACUCUCCAAAGAUGAGGUUAAAGUGUAUUUAAAGAAGGAGUUUGAGAAGCAUGGUGCAGUGGUGAAUGAAAGUCAUCAUGAUGUUUUGGUGGAGGACAUUUUUGAUAAAGAAGAUGAAGACAAAGAUGGAUUUAUAUCUGCCAGAGAAUUUACAUAUAAACAUGAUGAGUUAUAGAGAUAUGUCUACCCAUUUUAUAUCCAUCUUUAAGAGAGGAUAAUCAACUUUAAAGAAAGUUUUAAUUUUUAACAAUGUUCUUGCUUUGCUUUUUUAUUUUUAUGUAUUUUUUCUGACUCGUAUGUAAGAACCCCUUAGGGUUUCAAAGUAUCCGUUUCUUUCUAGUAAGUUAUUGGGAAGAAAAACCUAAUAUGAAUAGAAGACUUCCACUUUUAUAAAUGAAGAUUUGUUUUACUUUUUUAGUUGUCAUUUACAAAUAUUGCAAUGGCAGCAUACCAUAACACGAGAUCAAGUUAGAGCACAACUCAGCACCCUGCAUUUCUGCCUCCCUCUACUUUCUCCAAGGUAGAGACUGACAUAUUUGAAAAGCCUUUUGUAAUAGCCCAAAGCUGGCUAUUUUGAUGUUAUAAUGAAAUAGUUUACUUUACCUGCCUUUGCAUCUUGAGGACAAAAGGAGAAUGGUAUUGGACUUUACUUGGUAACAGCUACUGCUUUACUAAAGAGAUGUGCAAUGCUGAAGUUGGUAACAAAAUUAAUAACUUAUAUAAAUAUGUAUGCAUUGAAACAUUCUGCCUAGGACUUAAGCUGCAUACAAUACAGCUCCUAGUAACUAAUGGCCUGUUAUGUGUUUGUUUCUUUGUAAUAAAAUGUAUCAAAAUAUUAUAGACAAGAUAGAGAGUAGUAUUUAUACUCAAACUUUAUUUUAAAUCUAGCAGAUUACCUUCCUAGUUCUUAAAAGAUGAAGUCUGUAACUAAGGUAUUAUCGUAUAAUAAUAUUGCAUUAUAAGAGAAAUUAGUAAGCCAGUUAAAAAUUUUCCCUUUUCAGGGUGGUGCCUGUGGCUCAACAGGGUAGAGCGCCAGUCCCAUAUGCCAGAGGUGGCGGGUUCAAGCCCAGCCCUGGCCAAAAAAAAAAAAAAAAAAAUUUCCCUUUUCUGCCGCAUCUAAAAAUGAGCAAACUGGGUCCGGUGCAGUGGCUCAGCCCUGUUAUCCUAGCACUCUGGGAGCCCAGGCAGGUGGAUUGCCUGAGCUCAUGGGUUUGAGAUCACCCUGAGUCAGGGCCAGACCCCAUCUCUAAAAAAAUAGCCAGGUGUGUGGUGGGUGCCUGUAGUCCCAGCUACUUGAGAGACUGAGGCAAGAGAAUCACUUAAGCCCAAGAGUUUGAGGUUGCUGUGAGCUGUGGUACCACGGUACAGUACUGAGGGUGACAAAGUGAGACCCUGUCUGUAAAUAAAUAAGAGCAAACCUAUAGUAGCUAUAUUGAAUAGCUACUCCGAAGUCUAUGAAAAAAGCUGAUGGAUCUUACUGGAGCUAUUUCACAGAUGAGGAAAUUAUCAUUCAAAGAGAUUGUCACGCCCAGUGUCAACAGCACCUAUAGAGCCGGUUUUCAGUCCCAAGUCCUUUUCUUCCUCCUAAUGAAAAAGUGAGAUUUCUCCUGAACUGUUAGACCUUAUUUUCUCUUCAGUUUGUUCUUCUGUUGUUUGUCUUUGAGUCCUUAUCCUCUGAAGAUGGAUUCAUGACUAUUUUUGGCACAUUAGAAUUCUCCCUAUGAUCCAGGAAUGACCCCAGUUUCAUAGAAUAAUCUUGGGGUUAGCUCUGAAUUGCCUCAAAAUCCUCAAACAAGAGGUUCCAAGUGUGUCUUAGUUCUUUCAUUCCUAUUUACUUGCAUGUUUUUUUUAAACUUACGAACAAGUAUUACAAUUGUAUAUAGACUACUUUUACCCAUUACAUAUUUAUAUGUUUAUAUUUUUCUCACUAAAACGUGGGAAGAAUGUACUAUAAAAUCUCCCUCCAAAGAAAUCAGCAACAUCUUAAAAACUAGGGUGGUGCCUGUGGCUCAAGGAGUAGGGCGCCAGUCCCAUAUGCCGGAGGUGGUGGGUUCAAACCCAGCCCUGGCAAAAAAAAAAAAAAAAAACAUCUUAAAAACUAUAGUAGAACUACUGUAAGGACUAAA
RNA transcript from Nycticebus coucang (slow loris), 2745 nucleotides. It is a transcript of the gene named FKBP prolyl isomerase 14, with no coding region annotated. Lineage: Eukaryota; Metazoa; Chordata; Mammalia; Primates; Lorisidae. The record is from RefSeq and is a predicted model, not a curated record. The transcript is spliced from 5 exons.